CAGGCCUAACACAUGCAAGUCGAGGGGUAACAGAGGGUGCUUGCACCCUGCUGACGACCGGCGCACGGGUGCGUAACGCGUAUGCAACCUACCUUCUACAGGGGGAUAGCCCAGAGAAAUUUGGAAUAAUACCCCAUACGAUCUUUACUUGGCAUCGAGAAAAGAAGAAAACUUUUUGUGGUAGAAGAUGGGCAUGCGUCCUAUUAGUUAGUUGGUGAGGUAACGGCUCACCAAGACUCCGAUAGGUAGGGGCCCUGAGAGGGGGAUCCCCCACACUGGUACUGAGACACGGACCAGACUCCUACGGGAGGCAGCAGUGAGGAAUAUUGGACAAUGGGGGCAACCCUGAUCCAGCCAUGCCGCGUGCAGGAAGACUGCCCUAUGGGUUGUAAACUGCUUUUAUACAGGAAGAAACUGCGCUACGUGUAGCGUACUGACGGUACUGUAAGAAUAAGGAUCGGCUAACUCCGUGCCAGCAGCCGCGGUAAUACGGAGGAUCCAAGCGUUAUCCGGAAUCAUUGGGUUUAAAGGGUCCGUAGGUGGUCUAUUAAGUCAGAGGUGAAAGCCUAUCGCUCAACGAUAGAACUGCCUUUGAUACUGAUGGACUUGAGUUAUUGUGAAGUAGUUAGAAUAUGUAGUGUAGCGGUGA
Molecule: ribosomal RNA, 649 nt
Filed under: uncultured bacterium
Lineage: Bacteria
Description: bacterial SSU rRNA
Rfam family: Bacterial small subunit ribosomal RNA
Source: RNAcentral